RNAcentral lists this ribosomal RNA (837 nucleotides) under uncultured archaeon. Its description in RNAcentral is "bacterial SSU rRNA". It matches the Rfam family "Archaeal small subunit ribosomal RNA", at positions 21 to 859 of the family's 1478-position model. The record is from RNAcentral.
GGUUACUGCUAUCGGUGUUCGCCUAAGCCAUGCGAGUCAUAUGUUCGUAAGAACAUGGCGUACUGCUCAGUAACACGUGGAUAACCUGCCCUUGGGUCCGGCAUAACCCCGGGAAACUGGGGAUAAUUCCGGAUAACGCACAUAUGCUGGAAUGCUUUAUGCGUAAAAUGGAUUCGUCUGCCCAAGGAUGGGUCUGCGGCCUAUCAGGUAGUAGUGGGUGUAAUGUACCUACUAGCCUACGACGGGUACGGGUUGUGAGAGCAAGAGCCCGGAGAUGGAUUCUGAGACAUGAAUCCAGGCCCUACGGGGCGCAGCAGGCACGAAAACUUUACAAUGCGGGAAACCGUGAUAAGGGGACACCGAGUGCCAGCAUCCUAUGCUGGCUGUCCGGGUGUGUAAAAUACACCUGUUAGCAAGGGCCGGGCAAGACCGGUGCCAGCCGCCGCGGUAACACCGGCGGCCCGAGUGGUGAUCGUGAUUAUUGGGUCUAAAGGGUCCGUAGCCGGUUUGGUCAGUCCUCCGGGAAAUCUGACAGCUUAACUGUUAGGCUUUCGGAGGAUACUGCCAGACUUGGAACCGGGAGAGGUAAGAGGUACUACAGGGGUAGGAGUGAAAUCUUGUAAUCCCUGUGGGACCACCUGUGGCGAAGGCGUCUUACCAGAACGGGUUCGACGGUGAGGGACGAAAGCUGGGGGCACGAACCGGAUUAGAUACCCGGGUAGUCCCAGCCGUAAACGAUGCUCGCUAGGUGUCAGGCAUGGCGCGACCGUGUCUGGUGCCGCAGGGAAGCCGUGAAGCGAGCCACCUGGGAAGUACGGCCGCAAGGCUGAAACUUAA